This 620-nucleotide ribosomal RNA is filed under the name uncultured bacterium. RNAcentral describes it as "bacterial SSU rRNA". It matches the Rfam family "Bacterial small subunit ribosomal RNA", at positions 331 to 942 of the family's 1533-position model. The record is from RNAcentral.
CCAGACUCCUACGGGAGGCAGCAGUAGGGAAUCUUCGGCAAUGGACGAAAGUCUGACCGAGCAACGCCGCGUGAGUGAAGAAGGUUUUCGGAUCGUAAAGCUCUGUUGUAAGAGAAGAACGGGUGUGAGAGUGGAAAGUUCACACUGUGACGGUAUCUUACCAGAAAGGGACGGCUAACUACGUGCCAGCAGCCGCGGUAAUACGUAGGUCCCGAGCGUUGUCCGGAUUUAUUGGGCGUAAAGCGAGCGCAGGCGGUUAGAUAAGUCUGAAGUUAAAGGCUGUGGCUUAACCAUAGUACGCUUUGGAAACUGUUUAACUUGAGUGCAGAAGGGGAGAGUGGAAUUCCAUGUGUAGCGGUGAAAUGCGUAGAUAUAUGGAGGAACACCGGUGGCGAAAGCGGCUCUCUGGUCUGUAACUGACGCUGAGGCUCGAAAGCGUGGGGAGCGAACAGGAUUAGAUACCCUGGUAGUCCACGCCGUAAACGAUGAGUGCUAGGUGUUAGGCCCUUUCCGGGGCUUAGUGCCGCAGCUAACGCAUUAAGCACUCCGCCUGGGGAGUACGACCGCAAGGUUGAAACUCAAAGGAAUUGACGGGGGCCCGCACAAGAAUGGCGAAUUCC